GCACCUCAAAUCAAAUGCAUUGGAUGGAUGCCUCGGCAGAAAGGAAAAGAAGGGACGAACUAAAUCUCGAAAAGCCGUAGAACAGGUGAUGCCCUAAAACCUACGGAUCUCCCAUCGGGAAACCGCAUGCGUCGAUCAGAAACCAAAAGGUGGAAUGUUCGACAGACUACUUGGCCAACUGAAACAUCUAAGUAACCAAAGGAAAAAGAAAUCAACCGAGACUCCGUAAGUAGUGGCGAGCGAACGCGGACAUUGCUAGCUCUUAUUCAACCCCUUAAGAGGCUGAGAAGCCUUGCCAUAGAAGGUCAUAGCCCUGUAAGGGUUGAAUAUUCUGAAGAUUUACCAAUCUUGAAUGAGCAAAGAGCCCAUCCCCAUAGGGGAUUGGAGCUCAUUUUAUUUGAGGGGGGACCACCCUCCAAGCAAAGUAAUCCUUCUGACCUAUAGUGCAAUAGUACCGCGAGGGAAAGGUGAAAAAAACUCUGGAAAGAGGGUGAAAAGAUCUGAAAUCCAAUGCAGACAAUCAGUUGAAGGCAAUUGCCAUAUUGGGCAGUGCAUGAGUGAGAGCCAGGAUUGGCUUGAAUCCAUUCUCAAUUGCUUACAGCGUACCUUUUGUAUAAUGGGUCAGCGAGUCAAUCUUUACAGCAAGCUUAAGCUCUAAAGUGUAGGCGCAAUGAGAAACCAUACCAGUUGUAAGGAUUGGACCCGAAAUCGAUUGAGCUAGCCAUGGGCAGGUUGAAGCGGCGCCCGACAGCACGUGGAAGACCGAAUUCGUUACUGUGGCAAAAGUAUGAAAUGACCUGUGGCUAGGGGUGAAAGGCCUAUCAAAAUCGAAGAUAGCUGGUUUUUUGCGAAAUCUAUUUAGGUAGAGCGUUCUUCAGCAAUCGUGUUUGUAGGGGGUAGAGCACUCGAUGGGCUAGGGUGGCCCAAAGCUUGACCGAUCCCAAGGAAACUCCGAAUACCUACAAACAAUAGAGUGCCCUAUUCUCCUAAAAGAAGCUUGGUAACUUCUUAUUGCUAUGAGUUCCAAUCCCCUAAAGGGAUAUUCAUUUCAAUUCAAGAGAGAAUAGAGGCCAUACGCUGAAAGCAGACAGACUUUGGGUGAUAAGGUCCAAGGUCAAAAGGGAAACAGCCCAGAUCGUAUGCUAAGGUCCCAAAGCAAUCACUUAGUGGAAAAGGUGGUCGCUAGGCGAUUACAACCGGGAGGUGGGCUUGGAAGCAGCCAUCCUAUUAUGACAGCGUAACAGCUCACUGGUCUAGCUUAGCGGCGCCUAAAAUGAACCGGGGCUCAAGUGAUUCACCGAAGCAACGAAAUUGAAUCGAGGGAGCUGAUACGAUUUUGAAGAAUUGUACCGAUCUGCGACCCCAUUCAAUUGGUAGCAAAACGUUCUAUAAGCCCUGUGAAGGCAACUCGUAAGAGAUGCUGGAGGCAUUAGAAGUGAGAAUGCUGACAUAAGUAACGAUUAAUAAUGUGCAAAGCAUUAUCGCCGAAAGUUCAAGGGUUUCAUUGUUCAGUCAAUCUGCAAUGAGUCAAUAAGGCCCCUAAGUUUCAUGCUGAAGAGCAUUGAUCGAUGGGUAGGCUGGGAGCGACGAAGAGAUCGCUGAUGGGGCUAUUGCCCCCUGCUUCGCUCCACUCCUCUCUGGGGAGUGGGGCUCUGCGCUCAAUCAUCUUUCUGAUACAGAACACGCGGCAAUCGCGCCUUGCAGGAGUGAUUUGAUUCGAGACAAUCCUUUUCCUAGAAACAACUCCAGCCACAACUAUACCUUACCCCAAACCGACACAGGUGAACAAGUAGAGAAUACUAAGGCGUUGGGACAAUCACCUUGAAGGAACUCGGCAAAAUCACUCCGUAACUUCGGGAGAAGGAGGGCUCUCAAGAGAGAGUGGCACAGAAUAGGGGGUGGCGGCUGUUUAUUAAAAACACAGGACUCUGCAAAGUACCAAUACCAUGUAUAGAGUCUGACACCUGCCCGGUGCUGUAAGGUGAAUAGGAGAGGUAAGUAUGCUUCGAAUGAAAGCCCCAGUAAACGGCGGCAGUAACUCUAACUGUCCUAAGGUAGCGAAAUUCCUUGACGUAUAAUUAACGUCCUGCAUGAAUGGUGUCACGACUGCCCCGCUGUCUCCAAGGUGAGCCCAGUGAAUUUGAAUUCUCCGUGAAGAUGCGGAGUACCAGCGGCUAGACGGUAAGACCCCGUGCACCUUUACUAUAGCUUUGCACUGGCCACCCCGGUAUGAUGUGUAGAAUAGGUGGGACCAUACAAUUGGGAUCGUGAAAUACCAUCCUUUAUUCUGGGGGGGUCUAACUAUAAGAAUGUAGGACCUUGCAUAGUUGGUAGUUUCCCUGGGGAGGGGUUCUCCUAAAGAGUAACGGAGAAGUGUGAAGGUAAGCUCAAGCUGUGCUUGCGCGCAGCUGUAGAGCGUAAUGGUACAAGCUUGCCUGACUGUAAGACCUACAAGUCGAACAGAGACGAAAGUCGGCCAUAGUGAUCCGGGGGCCCCGUGUGGAAGGGCCCUCGCUCAACGAAUCAAAGGUACGCCGGGGAUAACAGGCUAAUGACCCCCAAGAGCCCAUAUCGACGGGGUCGUUUGGCACCUCGAUGUCGACUCAUCACAUCCUGGGGGUGAAGAAGCUCCCAAGGGUUCGGUUGUUCGCCGAUGAAAGUGGUACGUGAGUUGGGUUUAGAACGUCGUGAGACAGUUUGGUUCCUAUCUACCGUUGGAGGAACAUCAUAGCUGCAGAGCCUUCCCUUCAAAAGGUGGCUCAUUGUGCGCUGUUGAUGAAAAAAGAAUUGAGAGGCGCUGCCCUUAGUACGAGAGGACCGGGGCAGGUAAACCUCUAGUGUACUGACUGUCGCACCAGCGGCAUCGCCAGGAAGCCACGUUUGCACGGGAGAACUGCUGAAAGCAUAUAAGCGGGAAACCUUUCUCUAUACAAGUUCUUAGAAUCGGUGAAAGACUCUCACCUUAAUAGGCGCAUGGUGCAAGUGCUGAAAGGCACGAAGCUUUUGCGUACUAAUCUGAUCGAAUCCAAUAAAAAA
RNAcentral lists this ribosomal RNA (3036 nucleotides) under Klebsormidium flaccidum. Its description in RNAcentral is "LSU rRNA". It matches the Rfam family "Bacterial large subunit ribosomal RNA". Lineage: Eukaryota; Viridiplantae; Streptophyta; Klebsormidiophyceae; Klebsormidiales; Klebsormidiaceae. The record is from RNAcentral.